UACGGAUCCGGUCCGUCCACCAUCUCCCAGGAUAUCUAGUCAGGCUGACCCCAUCAUACAAUUAUCAGUCUACACAAUCUUUCAUUUUCCUCUUCCUCAGUAAGCAUUAUCAAUUCACAUUUUAAACAAGCAAAUCGUAAUUCAUGCCAAACAGACAACAUACGGUAUCAGUUUUUCAGUCAUUCAACCCAUAACCAAUAAAAACGUAAUAUAUGCACACGAAACUAUAAAAUAAACACAUCAAGCCUCAUACUGCAUUUAAAGCUGUAAAACAGGUCAAAUAACAGUAAAUCAUCAAUCACACUAGACUCGGGCUCCAUUAGCAACCUUAAGCAAUUUCACACAUUCGUUAAUUCAAGAAA
This 362-nucleotide long non-coding RNA is filed under the name Carica papaya (papaya). Its description in RNAcentral is "long non-coding RNA (CPAP_LNC006109)". The record is from RNAcentral. Lineage: Eukaryota; Viridiplantae; Streptophyta; Magnoliopsida; Brassicales; Caricaceae.